This 279-nucleotide unclassified non-coding RNA is filed under the name plant metagenome. Its description in RNAcentral is "partial contains small subunit ribosomal RNA, internal transcribed spacer 1, and 5.8S ribosomal RNA". The record is from RNAcentral.
UCUCCGUAGGUGAACCUGCGGAGGGAUCAUUACAGAGUUUGUGAAACCGCGGGUAGCCCGUCCACCCAGUGUUAUUGCUACCUUCGUUGCUUUCGCGGGCGGCCUUCCGCUACCGGCCCACCCUGGUCCCCGCGCGCCCGUGGACCCCGAACCCUGAACGGUAGUGUUGUCUGAGUACUAUAUAAUAGUUAAAAAUUUCAACAAACGACCGCUUGGUUCUGGCUUCGAUGAAGAACGAAGCAGACAGGAAGAGCACACGCACGAACUCAAGCCACUUCC